This 507-nucleotide long non-coding RNA is filed under the name Sarcophilus harrisii (Tasmanian devil). RNAcentral describes it as "lncRNA (ENSSHAG00000027487.1)". Lineage: Eukaryota; Metazoa; Chordata; Mammalia; Dasyuromorphia; Dasyuridae. The record is from RNAcentral.
UACCAAUCCAUUGUUGAGCUGAUCACAAUCUCUCCUCAAAUGUCUGACUUUCCUCUGUCUAUCCAAGUGAUUCCAGCCUUCGUGACCACUCAAAUAUUUACCCAAAGGUUUCCUGGUGAACCUAAUGUUAUUUUAUUUAUCACAACAUAUGAAUAAAUGAAGAAGGGGAUUCUUGUUCCAAGAACUUCAAGUUCAAGCAUUCCAUUUUCACCUUCAACCUACAAAGGAAAUCUCCAAUAGCACUUUUAAACAAGAGGAAUAAUAAAAAUUGUGGUGGGUUAGAAAAUGGUUCAAUGGUGAAGAAAUGAGGUUUGUUAAACAGGAUGGAACUUGAUGAUGGAUCAUAAGAGAAACUUCAAAAGGAAAUGCAACUUUACUAGGAGACAGAAAGCAAAACAGAAAGCUUCAUGUCUUGUGCUAGCGUACCUCCCUGGAUAACAGCCAAAAGAAAUCUCCUACUUGGACUGAACGGCAACAGUAGAGACCAGGACCCAUCCUGUGGUCAAU